Molecule: ribosomal RNA, 468 nt
Filed under: Isolepis cernua
Lineage: Eukaryota; Viridiplantae; Streptophyta; Magnoliopsida; Poales; Cyperaceae
Description: eukaryotic LSU rRNA
Rfam family: Eukaryotic large subunit ribosomal RNA (bases 327-468)
Source: RNAcentral
UGCAGAAUCCCGUGAACCAUCGAGUCUUUGAACGCAAGUUGCGCCCGAGGGAUCCUCCCGAGGGCACGCCUGCCUGGGCGUUAGAAGCCCAUCAACACUCGGUCAACCUUUAUUUAGAGGACGGACUUGAUGUGGACAAUGGACCUCCGAGCCAGUAAUGGCACGGUGGGCUGAAGUUAAUGGUCGUCGGAUGGUGACUUGAUCGACGAGUUGUGGGCUACUGCGCAUGUCGAUCAAGGCCACCAUUUCGAUGUAUGGCCUCUAUACCCCAGUCGUAACGAGGGGAUUGUUGUUGCAGCAUCUUGUUGUUUCACAAUUUCGGACCGAUACCCCAGGUCAGGCGGGGCCACCCGCUGAGUUUAAGCAUAUAAAUAAGCGGAGGAGAAGAAACUUACAAGGAUUCCCCUAGUAACGGCGAGCGAACCGGGAGUAGCCCAGCCUUAGAAUCGUGACAGCCUUGCUGCCCGA